This 447-nucleotide ribosomal RNA is filed under the name uncultured bacterium. RNAcentral's name for it is "bacterial SSU rRNA". It matches the Rfam family "Bacterial small subunit ribosomal RNA", at positions 355 to 825 of the family's 1533-position model. The record is from RNAcentral.
UGGGGAAUAUUGGACAAUGGGCGCAAGCCUGAUCCAGCCAUGCCGCGUGAGUGACGAAGGCCUUAGGGUUGUAAAGCUCUUUCGGCGGGGAAGAUAAUGACGGUACCCGCAGAAGAAGCCCCGGCUAACUCUGUGCCAGCAGCCGCGGUAAUACAGAGGGGGCAAGCGUUGUUCGGAAUCACUGGGCGUAAAGCGCACGUAGGUGGAUAGUUAAGUUCGGGGUGAAAUCCCAGGGCUCAACCCUGGAACUGCCUCGGAUACUGGCUAUCUCGAGUCCGGAAGAGGUGAGUGGAAUUCCUAGUGUAGAGGUGAAAUUCGUAGAUAUUAGGAAGAACACCGGUGGCGAAGGCGGCUCACUGGAUCGGUACUGACGCUGAGGUGCGAAAGCGUGGGGAGCAAACAGGAUUAGAUACCCAAGUAGUCCCUGAGCGGGCUGGCAAGGCGCAU